GCUGGGAUAGUGAAGCGGUCAAACACGACAGACUGUAAAUCUGUUGGCAUUCGCCUUCGUAGGUUCGAAUCCUACUCCCAGCACCA
RNAcentral lists this transfer RNA (86 nucleotides) under Candidatus Saccharimonadota bacterium. RNAcentral's name for it is "tRNA-Tyr". It matches the Rfam family "tRNA". From Rfam's summary of the family: Transfer RNA (tRNA) molecules are approximately 80 nucleotides in length. Their secondary structure includes four short double-helical elements and three loops (D, anti-codon, and T loops). Further hydrogen bonds mediate the characteristic L-shaped molecular structure. tRNAs have two regions of fundamental functional importance: the anti-codon, which is responsible for specific mRNA codon recognition, and the 3' end, to which the tRNAs corresponding amino acid is attached (by aminoacyl-tRNA synthetases). tRNAs cope with the degeneracy of the genetic code in two manners: having more than one tRNA (with a specific anti-codon) for a particular amino acid; and 'wobble' base-pairing, i.e. permitting non-standard base-pairing at the 3rd anti-codon position. Lineage: Bacteria; Candidatus Saccharimonadota. RNAcentral also lists the same sequence under 2 other names. The record is from RNAcentral.